CCUACGGGAGGCAGCAGUGGGGAAUAUUGGGCAAUGGGCGCAAGCCUGACCCAGCAACGCCGCGUGAAGGAAGAAGGCUUUCGGGUUGUAAACUUCUUUUCUCAGGGACGAAGCAAGUGACGGUACCUGAGGAAUAAGCCACGGCUAACUACGUGCCAGCAGCCGCGGUAAUACGUAGGUGGCAAGCGUUAUCCUGAUUUACUGGGUGUAAAGGGCGUGUAGGCGGGACAGCAAGUCAGAGGUGAAAACCAUGGGCUCAACCUGUGGCCUGCAUUUGAAACUGUUUUUCUUGAGUACUGGAGAGGCAGAUGGAAUGCCUAGUGUAGCGGUGAAAUGCGGAGAUAUUAGGAGGAACACCAGUGGCGAAGGCGGUCUGAUGGACAGCAACUGACGCUGAGGCGCGAAAGCGUGGGGAGCAAACAGGAUUAGAUACCCUAGUAGUC
This 443-nucleotide ribosomal RNA is filed under the name uncultured bacterium. RNAcentral's name for it is "partial 16S ribosomal RNA". It matches the Rfam family "Bacterial small subunit ribosomal RNA", at positions 338 to 795 of the family's 1533-position model. The record is from RNAcentral.